CCUACGGGAGGCAGCAGUGGGGAAUUUUCCGCAAUGGGCGAAAGCCUGACGGAGCAAUACCGCGUGAGGGAGGAAGGCUCUUGGGUUGUAAACCUCUUUUCUCAGGGAAGAUAAUGACGGUACCUGAGGAAUGAGCAUCGGCUAACUCCGUGCCAGCAGCCGCGGUAAUACGGAGGAUGCAAGCGUUAUCCGGAAUGAUUGGGCGUAAAGCGUCCGCAGGUGGUUUUGAAAGUCUGCUGUUAAAGCGUGCGGCUUAACCGCAUAAGGGCAGUGGAAACUAGGAGACUAGAGUGCGUUAGGGGCAGAGGGAAUUCCCAGUGUAGCGGUGAAAUGCGUAGAGAUUGGGAAGAACACCGGUGGCGAAGGCGCUCUGCUAUACCGUAACUGACACUGAGGGACGAAAGCUAGGGGAGCGAAUGGGAUUAGAUACCCCAGUAGUCCUAGCCGUAAACGAUGGAUACUAGGCGUUGUCUGUAUCGACCCGGACAGUGCCGUAGCUAACGCGUUAAGUAUCCGCCUGGGGAGUACGCGNGCGACUGUGAACUACAAUAGAAGUUAGACGGCGUGAGACGUCGCCGACGGACGACCGACGAGGGGAGGUAGG
RNAcentral lists this ribosomal RNA (604 nucleotides) under uncultured bacterium. RNAcentral's name for it is "bacterial SSU rRNA". It matches the Rfam family "Bacterial small subunit ribosomal RNA", at positions 338 to 1415 of the family's 1533-position model. The record is from RNAcentral.